AGAGUUUGAUCCUGGCUCAGGACUAACGCUGGCGGCGUGCCUAACACAUGCAAGUCGAGCGCGAAUGGAGCAAUCCUAGUAGAGCGGCGCACGGGUGCGUAACACGUGGGUAAUCUGCCUCAAAGACUGGAAUAACCUGCCGAAAGGCAAGCUAAUACCAGAUAAGCCUACGGGCUCUUCGGAGCCUGAAGGAAAAGGUG
RNAcentral lists this ribosomal RNA (200 nucleotides) under uncultured bacterium. RNAcentral's name for it is "partial 16S ribosomal RNA". It matches the Rfam family "Bacterial small subunit ribosomal RNA", at positions 8 to 209 of the family's 1533-position model. The record is from RNAcentral.